This 504-nucleotide long non-coding RNA is filed under the name Gallus gallus (chicken). Its description in RNAcentral is "long non-coding RNA NONGGAT002228". The record is from RNAcentral. Lineage: Eukaryota; Metazoa; Chordata; Aves; Galliformes; Phasianidae.
CUGUCUCCCACAGCAGAGCUGAGGCAUUUUGGGAGGCAGGAGCCAUUCUGCACAGCCCGCACUGAGUCCUGCCCAGCCCUCAGGCACUGCAGAUCUUUUGCCAAAAAGGAAUCUUUGUGCAGGAGGCAUCUUCCCCAGCAGAACCACAUCCCAGCCCUCCUCCUGCGGUCACUGAGCUCAUACGAGCCUUGUGUGUCUGGGUUAGCAUAGAACACAGUCAUCCAUCUGCGUGUCCUCGUGGAAACAUUGGGUCUUCCCACCUGAGAAAUAAGAAAAACACAAGGGAAUAAAGCAAAGCACAGACUGUGCCAUCUGUUCCGAGGCUGCAGCACACACCAGAGCACAGUAACCACAUUUACUGCGUGGAGCCACAACACAACACCAGACCCUGCCAGGGACAUCUUCACUGAGCACACAGCCGGGUGACGGAGCAGCACCAGGCCCAUCUCCUGCUCCAUUCCCUUACAGAUGCCAGAAAAGAAGCAUGAGGGGCUGCAGCCGUGC